RNAcentral lists this transfer RNA (85 nucleotides) under Fidelibacterota bacterium. RNAcentral's name for it is "tRNA-Leu". It matches the Rfam family "tRNA". Rfam says of the family: Transfer RNA (tRNA) molecules are approximately 80 nucleotides in length. Their secondary structure includes four short double-helical elements and three loops (D, anti-codon, and T loops). Further hydrogen bonds mediate the characteristic L-shaped molecular structure. tRNAs have two regions of fundamental functional importance: the anti-codon, which is responsible for specific mRNA codon recognition, and the 3' end, to which the tRNAs corresponding amino acid is attached (by aminoacyl-tRNA synthetases). tRNAs cope with the degeneracy of the genetic code in two manners: having more than one tRNA (with a specific anti-codon) for a particular amino acid; and 'wobble' base-pairing, i.e. permitting non-standard base-pairing at the 3rd anti-codon position. Lineage: Bacteria; Pseudomonadati; Fidelibacterota. The record is from RNAcentral.
GCCCGGGUGGUGGAAUUGGUAGACACUACAGACUUAAAAUCUGUUGACCGAAUAGGUCGUGCCGGUUCAAGUCCGGCCCCGGGUA